RNAcentral lists this ribosomal RNA (451 nucleotides) under uncultured bacterium. RNAcentral describes it as "bacterial SSU rRNA". It matches the Rfam family "Bacterial small subunit ribosomal RNA", at positions 328 to 795 of the family's 1533-position model. The record is from RNAcentral.
GCACCAGACUCCUACGGGAGGCAGCAGUGGGGAAUAUUGCACAAUGGGGGAAACCCUGAUGCAGCAACGCCGCGUGAAGGAAGACGGUUUUCGGAUUGUAAACUUCUGUUCUUAGUGAAGAAGAAUGACGGUAGCUAAGGAGCAAGCCACGGCUAACUACGUGCCAGCAGCCGCGGUAAUACGUAGGUGGCAAGCGUUGUCCGGAAUUACUGGGUGUAAAGGGAGCGCAGGCGGGAAGCCAAGUCAGCUGUGAAAACUACGGGCUUAACUUGUAGACUGCAGUUGAAACUGGUUUUCUUGAGUGAAGUAGAGGUUGGCGGAAUUCCGAGUGUAGCGGUGAAAUGCAUAGAUAUCACGCAGAACUCCGAUUGCGAAGGCAGCGUACCGGCGCCCAACUGACGCUCAUGCACGAAAGCGUGGGUAUCGAACAGGAUUAGAUACCCUCGUAGCG